CGGUAUUGUUCCUGGCUUGAAGGUACUCGUUUAUAUUUCCUUCACUUUUUCCUUUUGGAUUAAUAUUGCAACUUGCUUGCCAUAUUAUUUCAUACCAAAAUUUUCGGUGUAGUUUCACCUCUAUAGAACUUCUUCCAAUGUCUAUCUGCUUCCACAAAGGGCAAAUUGACACUUUUGAAAAUGAAUGCAAUGAUCAUCCAGCUAACAUUAAUCUGGUGUUUUCAAUUCCUG
Molecule: unclassified non-coding RNA, 231 nt
Filed under: Hevea brasiliensis (rubber tree)
Lineage: Eukaryota; Viridiplantae; Streptophyta; Magnoliopsida; Malpighiales; Euphorbiaceae
Source: RNAcentral